GACGGGGAGCACCACAACAGGUGGAGCCUGCGGUUUAAUCGGACUCAACGCCGGGAAACUCACCAGAUAAGACAGCUGAAUGAUAGUCGGGCUGAAGACUCUACUUGACUAGCUGAGAGGUGGUGCAUGGCCGUCGUCAGUUCGUACUGUGAAGCAUCCUGUUAAGUCAGGCAACGAGCGAGACCCACGCCCACAGUUGCCAGCGUACUCUCUGGAGUGACGGGUACACUGUGGGACCGCCGCUGCUAAAGCGGAGGAAGGAAUGGGCAACGGUAGGUCAGUAUGCCCCGAAUAUCCCGGGCUACACGCGAGCUACAAUGGUUGGUACAAUGGGUAUCUACCCCGAAAGGGGACGGGAAUCUCCUAAAACCAAUCUUAGUUCGGAUUGAGGGCUGCAACUCGCCCUCAUGAAGCUGGAAUCCGUAGUAAUCGCGUUUCAACAGAACGCGGUGAAUACGUCCCUGCUCCUU
Molecule: ribosomal RNA, 470 nt
Filed under: uncultured Methanolinea sp.
Lineage: Archaea; Methanobacteriati; Methanobacteriota; Methanomicrobia; Methanomicrobiales; Methanoregulaceae
Description: bacterial SSU rRNA
Rfam family: Archaeal small subunit ribosomal RNA
Source: RNAcentral